GCCUGGCUGGCUCAGUUGGUAGAGCACGUGACUUUUGAUCAUGGGUUUGUGAGUUUGAGCCUUAUGUUGGAUA
RNAcentral lists this transfer RNA (73 nucleotides) under Felis catus (domestic cat). It matches the Rfam family "tRNA". Rfam says of the family: Transfer RNA (tRNA) molecules are approximately 80 nucleotides in length. Lineage: Eukaryota; Metazoa; Chordata; Mammalia; Carnivora; Felidae. The record is from Rfam by way of RNAcentral.